UGAGGCGCGCCGAGUUUGAUCCUGGCUCAGAGCGAACGCUAGCGGCGGGCUUAACACAUGCAAGUCGAGCGCCCUGCUUGCAGGGAGCGGCGAACGGGUGAGUAACACGUGGAUUACGUGCCCUUAGGUGGGGAACAACUCAGGGAAACUUGAGCUAAUUCCGCAUAUGCCCUUCGGGGUGAAAGACUUCGGUCGCCUGAGGAUCGGUCCGCGGCCCAUUAUUUAAUCCUAGUUGGUGGGGUAAAGGCCUACCAAGGGUACGAUGGGUAGCUGGUCUGAGAGGAUGAUCAGCCACACUGGGACUGAGACACGGCCCAGACUCCUACGGGAGGCAGCAGUGGGGAAUAUUGGACAAUGGGCGAAAGCCUGAUCCAGCCACGCCGCGUGAGUGAUGAAGGCCUUCGGGUUGUAAAGCUCUGUCGGGAGGGACGAAACCUUCGGGUUGACGGUACCUCGCAAGAAAGCACCGGCUAACUCCGUGC
RNAcentral lists this ribosomal RNA (482 nucleotides) under uncultured bacterium. RNAcentral describes it as "bacterial SSU rRNA". It matches the Rfam family "Bacterial small subunit ribosomal RNA", at positions 1 to 508 of the family's 1533-position model. The record is from RNAcentral.